RNAcentral lists this ribosomal RNA (253 nucleotides) under uncultured bacterium. Its description in RNAcentral is "partial 16S ribosomal RNA". It matches the Rfam family "Archaeal small subunit ribosomal RNA", at positions 474 to 727 of the family's 1478-position model. The record is from RNAcentral.
UACCAGCACCCCGAGUGGUCGGGACGUUUAUUGGGCCUAAAGCAUCCGUAGCCGGUUCUACAAGUCUUCCGUUAAAUCCAACUGCUUAACAGGUGGGCUGCGGAGGAUACUAUAGAGCUAGGAGGCGGGAGAGGCAAGCGGUACUCGAUGGGUAGGGGUAAAAUCCGUUGAUCCAUAGAAGACCACCAGUGGCGAAGGCGGCUUGCCAGAACGCGCUCGACGGUGAGGGAUGAAAGCUGGGGGAGCAAACCGG